CCUACGGGUGGCAGCAGUGGGGGAUAUUGCACAAUGGGGGAAACCCUGAUGCAGCGACGCCGCGUGGGUGAAGAAGCGCCUCGGCGCGUAAAGCCCUGUCAGCAGGGAAGAAAAUGACGGUACCUGAAGAAGAAGCCCCGGGUAACUACGUGCCAGCAGCCGCGGUACUACGUAGGGGGCAAGCGUUAUCCGGAUUUACCGGGGUUAAGGGGGGUCCGACGGGGAUGGUAGGUAGGAGGGAAAUCCCGGGGCCCAACCCCGGGACCGCUCGUGGAACUGCGUGGCUAGAGUGCAGGAGGGGCAGGCGGAAUGCCUGGUGUAGCGGUGAAAUGCGUAGAUAUCAGGAGGAACACCGGUGGCGAAGGCGGCCUGCUGGACUGCAACUGACGUUGAGGCCCGAAAGCGUGGGGAGCAAACAGGAUUAGAUACCCGGGUAGUC
This 439-nucleotide ribosomal RNA is filed under the name uncultured bacterium. RNAcentral's name for it is "partial 16S ribosomal RNA". It matches the Rfam family "Bacterial small subunit ribosomal RNA", at positions 338 to 795 of the family's 1533-position model. The record is from RNAcentral.